AAGUAAUGGAUUGGGAUGAUCAAAACUGUCUGACACAAUUGGACCUUGCCAUAGCAAGAAAGUCUAACCUAUUCCAGUGUUCUUUCUUUCAUGAGACAAGCUGUUAUAUAGACUUAAACAGU
RNAcentral lists this small nucleolar RNA (122 nucleotides) under Carlito syrichta (Philippine tarsier). RNAcentral's name for it is "Small nucleolar RNA SNORA28 (ENSTSYG00000020224.2)". It matches the Rfam family "Small nucleolar RNA SNORA28". From Rfam's summary of the family: ACA28 is a member of the H/ACA class of snoRNA that guide the sites of modification of uridines to pseudouridines. Lineage: Eukaryota; Metazoa; Chordata; Mammalia; Primates; Tarsiidae. The record is from Rfam by way of RNAcentral.